CGCGUGGAUAACCUGCCGCAUACCGGGGGAUAACAGCUGGAAACAGCUGCUAAUACCGCAUAUGCCCGCAGUGCUGCAUGGCACAGCGGGGAAAACUCCGGUGGUAUGCGAUGGGUCCGCGUCUGAUUAGGCAGUUGGCGGGGUAACGGCCCACCAAACCGACGAUCAGUAGCCGGCCUGAGAGGGCGGACGGCCACACUGGGACUGAGACACGGCCCAG
Molecule: ribosomal RNA, 220 nt
Filed under: uncultured Bacillota bacterium
Lineage: Bacteria; Bacillati; Bacillota
Description: uncultured Firmicutes bacterium partial 16S ribosomal RNA
Rfam family: Bacterial small subunit ribosomal RNA
Source: RNAcentral